CCAAGGCCCAACUCCCCAAACCACGGAGAGUCCUGUGGACAGCUCACCUAGCUGCAAUGGCUGCAGGCUCCCAGAUGUCCCUGCUCCUGGCUUUCACCCUGCUCUGCCUGCCCUGGCUUCAAAAGACUGGUGCCCUUCCAAGCAUUCUUAUCCAGGCUUUUGGAAGAGGCUGCGCUCCAUGCCCAUCAGCUGCAUCAGCUGGCCUUGACACCUACCAGGAGUUCGAAGAAGAUUGUAUCCCGAAUGAACAGAACUAUUUCUUCCUGCAGAACCCCAAGACCUCCCUCUGCUUCUCAGAGUCUAUGCCGACACCCUCCAACAAGGAGGAAAUGCUGGCAAAAUCCAACAUAGAGCUGCUUCACAUCUGUCUGCUGCUCAUCCAGUCCUGGCUCAAACCCGUGCAACUCCUUUUGCCAACAGUGAACUGCACAGGGUCUCGAACACCAUCUAUGAGUCCCUGAAGGACCUAGAAGAAGGCAUUCAAACUCUGAUAGGAAGGCUAAAAGAGGUCAGCCCCUGGACUGGGGAGAUCUUCAAGCAAAACUGCAGCAAGUUUGACACAAACUUGCACAACGAUGACGCACUGCUCAGGAACUAUGGGCUGCUCUAUUACUUCAGGAAGGACAUGGACAAGGUCAAGACGUUCCUGCGCAUUGUGCAGUGUCGCUCUGUGGAGGGCAGCUGUGGCUUCUAGCUGCCGGCUGGCAUCCCUGUGACCCCUUCCCAGUGACUCUCUUGGCCCUGGAAGGUGCCACUCCAGUGCCCACCAGCCUUGUCUUAAUAAAAUUAGGUUGUAUCAUUU
This is a non-coding RNA of Saimiri boliviensis boliviensis (Bolivian squirrel monkey), 802 nucleotides long. The record is from RefSeq and is a predicted model, not a curated record. Lineage: Eukaryota; Metazoa; Chordata; Mammalia; Primates; Cebidae.